AACAGGAUUAGAUACCCUGGUAGUCCACGCCGUAAACGAUGUCGACUUGGAGGUUGUUCCCUUGAGGAGUGGCUUCCGGAGCUAACGCGUUAAGUCGACCGCCUGGGGAGUACGGCCGCAAGGUUAAAACUCAAAUGAAUUGACGGGGGCCCGCACAAGCGGUGGAGCAUGUGGUUUAAUUCGAUGCAACGCGAAGAACCUUACCUGGUCUUGACAUCCACAGAACUUUCCAGAGAUGGAAAGGUGCCUUCGGGAACUGUGAGACAGGUGCUGCAUGGCUGUCGUCAGCUCGUGUUGUGAAAUGUUGGGUUAAGUCCCGCAACGAGCGCAACCCUUAUCCUUUGUUGCCAGCGGUCCGGCCGGGAACUCAAAGGAGACUGCCAGUGAUAAACUGGAGGAAGGUGGGGAUGACGUCAAGUCAUCAUGGCCCUUACGACCAGGGCUACACACGUGCUACAAUGGCGCAUACAAAGAGAAGCAAUCUCGCGAGAGCUAGCGGACCUCAUAAAGUGCGUCGUAGUCCGGAUUGGAGUCUGCAACUCGACUCCAUGAAGUCGGAAUCGCUAGUAAUCGUGAAUCAGAAUGUCACGGUGAAUACGUUCCCGGGCCUUGUACACACCGCCCGUCACACCAUGGGGAGUGGGUUGCAAAAGAAGUGGGUAGCUUAACCUUCGGGAGGGCGCUUACCACUUUGUGAUUCAUGACUGGGGGUGAAGUCGUAACAAGGUAACC
Molecule: ribosomal RNA, 732 nt
Filed under: uncultured bacterium
Lineage: Bacteria
Description: bacterial SSU rRNA
Rfam family: Bacterial small subunit ribosomal RNA
Source: RNAcentral